GUUGGAGGUAGGUAACGCUUUUUCGAGUAUUGCUAUUUUUGAAAAAUGUGAGCAGUAUUGAUACUCUUUAGUAAAAAGAGCUAUAACUAGAGUAGUAGUACUUUGUGGUAUUAUACAUGGUACUUAUAGUACUAGGCCGUGCUCUUGAAGUCAAGAAAUAAAAGAACACCAUACAACAAAGAGUGUCAAUACUCUUUAGAUUAGACUGUUAUAGAAGUAAACAUACGAUUUAAGGUGGAAAAAAAUCUGUUUUAUACAAAUUGAAGUAACUAUCUUUGAGUAUCAAAACUCUCUUCCAAAUAAAAUGAG
This 309-nucleotide long non-coding RNA is filed under the name Mytilus galloprovincialis (Mediterranean mussel). Lineage: Eukaryota; Metazoa; Mollusca; Bivalvia; Mytilida; Mytilidae. The record is from RNAcentral.